AGUGAACGCUGGCGGCGUGCUUAACACAUGCAAGUCGAACGAGAACGGAUUAUAGCUUGCUAUAAUUGUCAGCUAAGUGGCGCACGGGUGAGUAAUGUAUAGGUAAUAUGCCUCUUACUAAGGGAUAACAAAUGGAAACGUUUGCUAAUACCUUAUACUCCUUAUUAACAGAAGUUAAUAAGGGAAAGAUUUAUUGGUAAGAGAUUAGCCUGUAUUGUAUCAGUUAGUUGGUGGGGUAAUGGCUUACCAAGACUAUGACACAUAACUGGUUUGAGAGGAUGAUCAGUCGCACUGGAACUGAGACACGGUCCAGACUCCUACGGGAGGCAGCAGUGGGGAAUAUUGCACAAUGGACGAAAGUCUGAUGCAGCAACGCCGCGUGGAGGAUGACACAUCUCGGUGCGUAAACUCCUUUUAUAUGAGAAGAUAAUGACGGUAUUAUAUGAAUAAGCACCGGCUAACUCCGUGCCAGCCGCCGCAGUAA
This 484-nucleotide ribosomal RNA is filed under the name uncultured bacterium. RNAcentral describes it as "partial 16S ribosomal RNA". It matches the Rfam family "Bacterial small subunit ribosomal RNA", at positions 29 to 523 of the family's 1533-position model. The record is from RNAcentral.